Non-coding RNA from Triticum aestivum (bread wheat), 114 nucleotides. NCBI's taxonomy places the organism in Eukaryota, Viridiplantae, Streptophyta, Magnoliopsida, Poales, Poaceae. The record is from Rfam.
CUGUUACUCCUUCCGUUCAGCAUUACUUGUCUCAAAAAUGGAUGAUCUAGAAUUAAAAUACGUCUAGAUACAUCCAUUUCUGCGACAAGUAAUUCCGAACGGAGGGAGUAUCUC